GACGAACGCUGGCGGCGUGCCUAAUACAUGCAAGUUGAGCGCUGAAGGUUGGUACUUGUACCAACUGGAUGAGCAGCGAACGGGUGAGUAACGCGUGGGGAAUCUGCCUUUGAGCGGGGGACAACAUUUGGAAACGAAUGCUAAUACCGCAUAAAAACUUUAAACACAAGUUUUAAGUUUGAAAGAUGCAAUUGCAUCACUCAAAGAUGAUCCCGCGUUGUAUUAGCUAGUUGGUGAGGUAAAGGCUCACCAAGGCGAUGAUACGUAGCCGACCUGAGAGGGUGAUCGGCCACAUUGGGAUUGAGACACGGCCCAAACUCCUACGGGAGGCAGCAGCAGGGAAGCUUCGGAAAGGGACGAAAGUCUGACCGAGCAACGCCGCGUGAGUGAAGAAGGUUUUCGGAUCGUAAAACUCUGUUGGUAGAGAAGAACGUUGGUGAGAGUGGAAAGCUCAUCAAGUGACGGUAACUACCCAGAAAGGGACGGCUAACUACGUG
Molecule: ribosomal RNA, 497 nt
Filed under: uncultured bacterium
Lineage: Bacteria
Description: partial 16S ribosomal RNA
Rfam family: Bacterial small subunit ribosomal RNA
Source: RNAcentral